Molecule: long non-coding RNA, 1719 nt
Organism: Leptopilina boulardi
Lineage: Eukaryota; Metazoa; Arthropoda; Insecta; Hymenoptera; Figitidae
Exons: 2
Source: RefSeq, a predicted model, not a curated record
UCAUGGCGCAUGACACGCAAACUUCUCAGGUAUGUGAAAAACACAAUUUUGAAUAUUUUUUAAAAAAACCUUUUGGAAAAUGUUCAGAGAAACAUAGACUAUGUCUGUUAUGUGCGAAAAAUUCAAAAUUUUGCGUAUAAAACGUUUUUUAAACAAUGUUUAAGUUGGUUGUCACAAGUAAGGAAAAAUACACGAAUUGCUUAUAUGUAGGCAUUGUUUAAAAAACGUUUUAAACGCAAAAUUUUGAAUUUUUCGCACAUAACAGACAUAGUCUAUGUUUCUCUGAACAUUUUCCAAAAGGUUUUUUUAAAAAAUAUUCAAAAUUGUGUUUUUCACAUACCUGAGAAGUUUGCGUGUCAUGCGCCAUGAUUUGUGACCUUAACAUUGUUUAAAAAACGUUUUAAACGCAAAAUUUUGAAUUUUCCGCACAUAACAGACAGAGUCUAUGUUAUUCUGAACAUUUUCCAAAAGGUUUUUUUAAAAAAUAUUCAAAAUUGUGCUUUUCACAUACCUGAGAAGUUUGCGUGUCAUGCGCCAUGAUUUGUGACGUCACGAAGGUUCAAAUGCUCUUAAUUAAUUAACAUAGAAAUAAAAUAAAUUAACGUGAAUGAAAAUUUUUCUGAAUUUUGAUUAAAGAAAAACUUGAAUUUAAUAUUCAGUAUUAUUUUAUGCAGAAUGAAGGGACUUUUGAAAAACUUGGUUUCGUCAAAGUUUAUUGAAGAGAGAAUAAAGCGAGGAGAAAAAGCAAGAGAUAGAGAAAAAAAAGAGGGGCAUUCUUGAGUUGAAAAAAGUCAGUUGCAUAUGUGAGUGCCAUCUUUAUUUUUCACUUUUGUCAAGUUUCAUAAUACCACGUGGCAUUUUAGUCGAAGGUAUUGUUACCACCACCAACGAGAAAAAAAGAAAAUAUAGUGAGAGUCGCGAUAGCAUUUUCCCACGAGUUUUCUCUGCAUUCUCUCCAUCAACCCUAUACCCAAAAGUGCACGUUGCAAAUAUAUUCUCUCUCUCUCUCUCUCUCUCUCUUUCUCUCUUUUCUCCAUUUUACCUCAUUCCCUUCUUGACUUCCGUUGGGACAUAGGGAAAAGUCAAGACGCUCGGCUUCUAUCGCAUUUUUGCAAUUUAAUUUUACCAUCGUUUCUGUAGUUGUGUGUCUCUUAUACAUGUGAAUCAAUAACUCUGAGAGAAUUGUAUAUCAAAUACAUAGCAAUUGGAUUUUAAAAUUGUUCGACAUGAAACUUUACCCCAAGUCAAUUUACCUUAGAAUUUAUUCAUUUAAGGGGUUAUGCCACUCUAGGAUUUUCAAAAAAUCGCUUUUUUUUUUUUGCUUUAAAUAGUUCCUUAGGGUCUCAGAAAUAACAUAUUGCAGGAUUAUGGCUCGGAAAGAUCUCUAAAUAAUUUAUUUUCGAAGUUCCUUGCAAGGCUGCACGGUACGCGGCGAGCUCAUUUUGUAAGUUCUACGGGGGGUAAUAUUUGAAGGAUCUACAGCAGGUAUACGGCAGAUGUUUUCAAAGGCGCUAGUUACUUGCUAGACUAUAGUGGUCAAUUAUAUGGUGCAGGCAUUGCAGAUUAAAGGAGCAGUUAGUUCGGCCACGUACCCCUUGAACCAUAGAGGAGUCGAAGGACGACCGCUACAGCGCCACCAUUCUUCAAGAAAUAUUUAUAAGAAAUUAUUUUUUUACACCUAAAAAGAUGUAUAAUAAACUUCUUAUAUUAUAUUUUUAA